CUGUAGCCAAUUAAAUCAACAGUUCUUACUUGGGCCUGGUGAGUAUAGGUUGCAAACAGCAACCUUCCUGAAACUCUCUGAAGCGUGUUCAUAUAGGCUGCCCUACGGGACCUUGGAGACACUC
Molecule: small nucleolar RNA, 124 nt
Filed under: Sorex araneus (European shrew)
Lineage: Eukaryota; Metazoa; Chordata; Mammalia; Eulipotyphla; Soricidae
Description: Small nucleolar RNA SNORA70 (ENSSARG00000019559.1)
Rfam family: Small nucleolar RNA SNORA70
About the family: snoRNA U70 seems to be exclusive to mammals and is a member of the H/ACA class of snoRNA which contain H (ANANNA) and ACA box motifs. H/ACA box snoRNAs are involved in the conversion of uridines to pseudouridines (5-ribosyluracil) a constituent of structural RNAs (transfer, ribosomal, small nuclear, and small nucleolar).
Source: RNAcentral